This is a long non-coding RNA of Aplysia californica (California sea hare), 1743 nucleotides long. RefSeq lists it as uncharacterized. The record is from RefSeq and is a predicted model, not a curated record. The transcript is spliced from 3 exons. NCBI's taxonomy places the organism in Eukaryota, Metazoa, Mollusca, Gastropoda, Aplysiida, Aplysiidae.
UUUGUCACCCGCGGACAACACAUCUCUCGGUUUUCGUAAGCUACUGUCACUUGAAAAAGAGGAAGAAUAACUGACAUUCUUCUGCUUUGAGAAUGUUUCAACUGAUAUUCUGAGCAGCUUUGCUAAUCUGUGAAGGCCCAGCUGACAACUGAUAAGUUUGACUCAUGACUGUAAAUCCACAAGCCUGAAUGUCAGGUCAACUACAGUGGCCCGUCUAGGUAAAGAGAGCGAAGGUGUCCUAUGGGGUUGCUCACUCUAGUACUAGAUGAGGAACACCUCACUCAUUGGUGAAGGAGAUUCAAAAUCAUUCCCACUGUAUUGGCCCUCAACCCCUAUGAUUCCAUACUCAUAAAGGAGGUGGUGUGUGUCAACCAAUGUGGCAAAACAGUGUAACUUGUUUGACGACGGAAAAUCGCCCUUUGAAGCUUGAGGGUACAAGAAAUCAUUCGAAUGCUAAAAGGACAGGCAGACGCAAGACGGCAAGGACUCCUCUACCACCACUGUAGUCUAGUUCCUGUGCAGACUGCAGCUCCGAUCCACACGCACGAAGUGACAGUGCUUCGGUGACUACCCCACCAGUUGCUAAAAACACGCCAGCUUUCCCACCAGCACAAGCAACACCGCUUCACAAAUAAAGCCGGACAAGAACAAUUUUAUUACAAUACCCAUAGGAAAUCAUAAUGAAAACUUUACAACACUGUGCUCGCAUAAGACACCUGCAAAUCUAUUUCACAAUGUGGUGCGUGGUGAUUGCAAAGACCUUGACACAAGACAAUGUGCCAGUGUCCUGUUUACUGACAUUGAUAGAUAAUGGUGGUCCCUCAUACGAACCUGGGGCUGGGGUCACUGGUUUUUCUUGAAGUGCCAUUUUUGUGAAUAGAAAGUGAGGAUGAUUGGAUGCAGCACAUUUGUAAGGUAAACGAUUUUAUUUUAAUUUAGGUGUUUUACACCACUUUUACGUCCUGGACACAAAUUAGAUCAAUUUGGUGGGUCUCUCGCCCUGCCUGUUAGGGUCAACCCUGCAUGAGAGAGGAGUAACACUUCAGCAAAAAGACAUAUCUCUGUACUGGAAAAAAAAAUUCCCACUCAGAAAUCGAAUUCGGGUCUAACAAGUGUGACACUGAAGUUCCUAAAUGCUACACUAUAGUACUGGUGUAAACAAUGCUCAUUUCAAUUUUUUUUCGUUUGUGUUUUAUAGUACUAAGUAUAUAAAAUAUUCCAGGGCGCUACUGCGUAUAUCCUAUAUAAUAUUCCAGCGCAUUUUGGUAUAAAAAUCUAAUUUAUACCCAUUCCCUGGAUUAUCAGCUUGUUUUGUUUGUUUGUUUGUCAGUUUGUUUGUCUGUUUGUCGUUGUUUAUUUUAUAUUUCGAGGGUGGUAUUGGGGGUUUUAGUCGAUGAUACUUUUUUCCAAAUUCACGCUGUUUUACUUUAAUUUAUUAAAUACACAUUCCAGAUGUAUUAAUGAAUAAUAUACACAUAUGCCCUGUUUUAGAACUUAAUGUUGAAAUACACCAGUAUGGAUUCAUUUAAAAAAAACAAAUUUUCUCAAAACUAUGAUUUUCGUUUAGGGGUGGGUUACCUGCGCUGGUAUAUUUCUGAAAGUACAUAUCACAGCUCAAUCUCACUUUGCAUGACUGUUUCUAGAUAAUAGUUGUAUGUCAGAAACAUACAAAAAUAUUAUUGUGAUAUAUUUUCUGUGAGUGCAAAAAUGAUUGAUGUUAUCAAUAAAAUUUGUAAUGAAUAG